GUAUUGCGUGAUGGAUCCCUGCUCGGGCAGCGACAUCAUCUCAUCCACGUCUCUUCAUUUGUUGGCGCGAGCRCCUGCUCGGCCGGUGUUGGUUUUCCUGUGCUGGAUACCCGUAUCGAGGCACUACGUCGGUUAAAUCGUCCCUAUGCCGCCUCGUGCCGCUGCUCCUCGUGGGCAAGCGGCCCGGGGUGGCCCAAGUAGCGCACGCCGCGUGUCCCAUCCCGUUCGCCCCGUUACAAGGGUGCUCGGGCUGAUGAUCCGCGGCUUGAUGCUCGGUCUCUCGGGUGCGGAAUGUCGUGUUGGUGCGACGUGGCCAUCGGCCUCGGAGCACCACGAACAAGCGUUCUACGCUUCGUGCGGACGACUGUCGGCUCGGCCUCCGGCYGGCCCUCGCGGCUCAGUUCGGAACCGUGCCGGCGUCGGUGAGGAAUGCUACCU
RNAcentral lists this unclassified non-coding RNA (438 nucleotides) under Clinopodium gracile. Its description in RNAcentral is "partial external transcribed spacer". The record is from RNAcentral. Lineage: Eukaryota; Viridiplantae; Streptophyta; Magnoliopsida; Lamiales; Lamiaceae.